UCCGGGGGCCGUGGGAGAAUCAAGACCCAAAGAGAGGUCUCAGCGUGUGACAGUGAUGCCACAGAUCUCCACGGCAAGCCCUGGAAGGGGAGCAGAGGACAGCGGUGCCCUGGGCAGGGGACAGAGUGGGUCACGGGCAGCUGCUGGGGCCGUUCCUGUCUGCAUCUGCCCAGGUGCUUGCCCCGUGAGCCAAUCCGCGGAGGAGGGCACCAUCCUGGGGUUGGAGGGCGUGGGCACUGUCCCAGUCCUGCGCAGGGGUUUCCUGCCAAAGAGAACACCCAGAAGCCUCUGCUGCUGUGGCCAUCUGCUCCCGGGUGGGGACACCGUGUGCCCCGCCCGAUCCUGGUGCCCUGGCGCCCUGUUGCCCCAGGCCUCCCCCGCGGGCUCCGAUGGCGUCUCUUGCUGAGACUGGAUCUCGCCCACCUGCCAGCGUCUCUCUUCUUGGUCGCAGACUCUCCCUCCCGGGUCCCGGGUGAUUUCUCUUUCCUGGGAGAUGCGUCCACUUCGCGAAGGUCCUCGGAUCCAGCUCAAGGUUGAGGGUCGUCCCCUGAGUUCCCUGGACUCCUGUUCUGCUCCUCUUUGUGGCUUCCUCCUCGACCUGGGACACGGGUGCAGCAAAACCAGUGAGAAGCGCCCUUCCACGGAGACCUUGGCCGUCCGCGCCCCUGCCCUGUGGGGGGAGCUGGGUGGCCGCCUGGGAGCGGCGGGCACUGGGCUGGGUCCAGGCUGGUCUAGGGCUCGGGGUUCUCCAGGGAGCAGCUGCGGGAGGUGUCCACCAGGAGAUUCUGUGGGGAAUGGCUCGCAGCGUCACGGGGCCAAGAGCCCCAGCCCGGCCAGCUGUGUGCAGAGGACAGAGGGGCCGACGGCCUGGUUCCAGCUCGAGCCCAGGCGUGGGACCCGGUGCUGAGGGUGUGUCCCCGCCCAAGCCUGCGGGCAGAAGACCCGUGUCCAGCUCCAGCAUGGCCUGGGGACAAGAGCAGACUCUCCGCCCGGGUUUUCUGACCAGGCCUCCCCCGAGGAGGCCCGUCCACAGGGGAGGCCCCGGCGGUCCUCAGACUGCCUCACCCAGAGACCCCCUCACCGACACACCCAGAAGGACGUUCAGUCCCACACGUGGCGCCCGGCGGCCAUCGAGGGUCACACAAAGUGGACCACGCAGCUGGAGUGGAGGGAUCAGAGGCAGGCAGCAGGGCCGCGAGGGCAGCGGGAGGGAGGCCGUUCGCUCCCUCUGGGGGUUUGCUGGUGGAUCAUUAGAUGGGGUGUGGGAGGGGCCAGAGGGGACCCCAGGACCACAAGGUGAGCAGAUGGCAGGUGGCGUUGUGCCAUCGAGGUCGGGACAUCUGUGGGGAGGGCUCGUCCAGGGAGGAAGACGGGAACUCUGGUUUUUGGAAUGCCGAGUUUGAGAGGUCUCUUCGAGACGGAGUGUGGGUGGAGUUGGAGGCCGGACAGCGUCAGCAGAUGGCACUCACGGCCGUGGGAGGAGGUGCCAUCUCAGGAUGAGUAGAGAUGACCGGGGAAGAGGCUGCUGGGAGGUGGGGCAGGGCCAGCAGAGGGACUGGCAGACCAGGCAGGGAGUAGGGGAGGGGCCAGGAGAGAGGCUGAGCCUCCAGGACACGAGAAGAACCACUGGAGUCAAUGGUCUGAGAGGACGGGUGCAGUGGACCGAGACCUGACCACUAGCUUUAGCAGCAUGGAGGUUGUUGGUGACCUUGACAAGGGCAAAUUCUGUGGAGUAGUUGGAGCCUUUUGAAGAGGUUACUGUAGAGUGGGAAGUGGAGCGGGAAAGCGAAGGUACAGAUGGUCCUUCCGACAUGUGUCUCCCCUCCUAGCCUUCUGCCUUGUGCAUCAUUGGAUUUACCAAGAGUUAACAUGAUUCAUUGUUGCCAAAGAACCAGCAGCUGGAUUUAUUAGUUCCCUUUUUUUCUUUUCUAUUUUUAACUCCAUUUCAGUUUUAAUUUAUUUAUUGCUUUCUUAUAUCUAUAUUGGGUUUAUUUUGUCUUCCUUCUCUGGCUUUUUGAAAUGGAUGAUUAAUUCAUGCAUUCUUGUGUAUUAAUAAAAAUCAUUAAUUUUUAAGGCUAUGAAUUUUCCUCUGAGCAUUGCUUUGGCUGCAUCACCAGGUUCUGAAAUUUUUUUUUAUUCC
RNAcentral lists this long non-coding RNA (2140 nucleotides) under Marmota monax (woodchuck). Lineage: Eukaryota; Metazoa; Chordata; Mammalia; Rodentia; Sciuridae. The record is from RNAcentral.